CCUACGGGGGGCUGCAGUCGAGGAUAUUUUUCAAUGGGCGAAAGCCUGAAAAUGCGACGCCGCGUGCGGGAUGAAGGCCUUCGGGUCGUAAACCGCUGUCAAGUCGGGCGAAUAUCUGGUCUGUUAACACCAGGCCAGGUUGACGGUACGAUUAAAGGAAGCCACGGCCAACUCCGUGCCAGCAGCCGCGGUAAUACGGAGGUGGCAAGCGUUGCUCGGAUUCAUUGGGUGUAAAGGGUCGGUAGGCGGUUUUAUAAGUGCUUGGUAAAAUCCCGCAGCUUAACUGCGGAACGCCCAGGUAGACUGUAAGACUUGAGGGCUGGAGAGGCAGACGGAAUUCCCGGUGUAAGGGUGAAAUCUGUAGAUAUCGGGAGGAACACCAGAGGCGAAGGCGGUCUGCUGGACAGCAUCUGACGCUGAGCGACGAAAGCGUGGGGAGCAAACAGGAUUAGAUACCCCAGUAGUC
Molecule: ribosomal RNA, 466 nt
Filed under: uncultured bacterium
Lineage: Bacteria
Description: bacterial SSU rRNA
Rfam family: Bacterial small subunit ribosomal RNA
Source: RNAcentral